GAUCCAGCAACGCCGCGUGAGGGAUGCGGCUCGGUGUAACCUCUUCACAUGACGAAGCUGCAUCUUUUUGGGUGUGGUGACGGUAGGUGGGGAAGAAGCACCGGCCAACUACGUGCCAGCAGCCGCGGUAAUACGUAGGGUGCGAGCGUUGUCCGGAAUUAUUGGGCGUAAAGGGCUCGUAGGCGGUUGUCGCGUCGGGAGUGAAAACCUCGGGCUUAACUCGGGGCUUGCUUUCGAUACGGGCAGACUAGAGGUAUGCAGGGGAGAACGGAAUUCCUGGUGUAGCGGUGAAAUGCGCAGAUAUCAGGAGGAACACCGGUGGCGAAGGCGGUUCUCUGGGCAUGAUCUGACGCUGAGGAGCGAAAGUGUGGGGAGCGAACAGGAUUAGAUACCCUGGUAGUCCACACCGUAAACGUUGGGCGCUAGGUGUGGGAUCCAUUCCACGGGUUCCGUGCCGCAGCUAACGCAUUAAGCGCCCCGCCUGGGGAGUACGGCCGCAAGGCUA
RNAcentral lists this ribosomal RNA (505 nucleotides) under uncultured Actinomycetes bacterium. Its description in RNAcentral is "bacterial SSU rRNA". It matches the Rfam family "Bacterial small subunit ribosomal RNA", at positions 385 to 896 of the family's 1533-position model. The record is from RNAcentral. Lineage: Bacteria; Bacillati; Actinomycetota; Actinomycetes.